GAGGAAAGUCCGGGCUCCACGGAACGCGGUGCCGGGUAACGCCCGGCGGGGGCGACCCCAGGGAAAGUGCCACAGAGAGCAGACCGCCGAUGGCUCCGAAAGGACCACAGGCAAGGGUGAAAGGGUGCGGCAAGAGCGCACCGCGCAGCGGGCAACCGAAGCGGCACGGCAAACCCCACCGGGAGCAAGACCGAAUAGGCACGCGAUGGGCUUAGGCCCGGGGCAGGAACCGGCCCUUUUCGCGUGCGGGUUGGUUGGUUGAGGCCGUCGGCAACGCCGGUGGUAGAGGAAUGAUCGUCACUGUCCUUCGGGGCAGAACAGAACCCGGCUUA
RNAcentral lists this RNase P RNA (332 nucleotides) under unidentified eubacterium clone PS#6. RNAcentral's name for it is "partial ribonuclease P RNA". It matches the Rfam family "Bacterial RNase P class A", at positions 43 to 351 of the family's 367-position model. Rfam says of the family: Ribonuclease P (RNase P) is a ubiquitous endoribonuclease, found in archaea, bacteria and eukarya as well as chloroplasts and mitochondria. The record is from RNAcentral. Lineage: Bacteria; Pseudomonadati; Pseudomonadota; Alphaproteobacteria.